GGAGAGGUACUCAAGUGGCUAAAGAGGACGGUUUGCUAAACCGUUAGUAGGGUGUAACCCUAGCAUGGGUUCAAAUCCCAUCCUCUCCGCCA
Molecule: transfer RNA, 92 nt
Filed under: Clostridiaceae bacterium
Lineage: Bacteria; Bacillati; Bacillota; Clostridia; Eubacteriales; Clostridiaceae
Description: tRNA-Ser
Rfam family: tRNA
About the family: Transfer RNA (tRNA) molecules are approximately 80 nucleotides in length.
Source: RNAcentral